GUGGGGAAUAUUGGACAAUGGGCGAAAGCCUGAUCCAGCCAUGCCGCGUGUGUGAAGAAGGUCUUCGGAUUGUAAAGCACUUUAAGUUGGGAGGAAGGGCAGUAAGUUAAUACCUUGCUGUUUUGACGUUACCGACAGAAUAAGCACCGGCUAACUUCGUGCCAGCAGCCGAGGUAAUACGAAGGGUGCAAGCGUUAAUCGGAAUUACUGGGCGUAAAGCGCGCGUAGGUGGUUUUGUAAGUUGGAGGUGAAAUCCCCGGGCUCAACCGAGGAACUGCCUCCAAAACUGCAUUACUAGAGUACGGUAGAGGGUAGUGGAAUUUCCUGUGUAGCGUUGAAAUGCGUAGAUAUAGGAAGGAACACCAUUGGCGAAGGCGACUACCUGGACUGAUACUGACACUGAGGUGCGAAAGCGUGGGGAGCAAACAGGAUUAGAAACCCGGGUAGUCU
This 450-nucleotide ribosomal RNA is filed under the name uncultured bacterium. Its description in RNAcentral is "partial 16S ribosomal RNA". It matches the Rfam family "Bacterial small subunit ribosomal RNA", at positions 354 to 796 of the family's 1533-position model. The record is from RNAcentral.